Molecule: ribosomal RNA, 506 nt
Filed under: uncultured bacterium
Lineage: Bacteria
Description: partial 16S ribosomal RNA
Rfam family: Bacterial small subunit ribosomal RNA
Source: RNAcentral
AGUGAACGCUGGCGGUAGGCCUAACACAUGCAAGUCGAACGGCAGCACAGGAGAGCUUGCUCUCUGGGUGGCGAGUGGCGGACGGGUGGGGAAUACAUCGGAAUCUACUCUGUCGUGGGGGAUAACGUAGGGAAACUUACGCUAAUACCGCAUACGACCUACGGGUGAAAGCAGGGGACCUUCGGGCCUUGCGCGAUUGAAUGAGCCGAUGUCGGAUUAGCUAGUUGGCGGGGUAAAGGCCCACCAAGGCGACGAUCCGUAGCUGGGCUGAGAGGAUGAGCAGCCACACUGGAACUGAGACACGGUCCAGACUCCUACGGGAGGCAGCAGUGGGGAAUAUUGGACAAUGGGCGCAAGCCUGAUCCAGCCAUACCGCGUGGGUGAAGGAGGCCUUCGGGUUGUAAAGCCCUUUUGUUGGGAAAGAAAUCCAGCUGGCUAAUACCCGGUUGGGAUGACGGUACCCAAAGAAUAAGCACCGGCUAACUUCGUGCCAGCCGCCGCCGUAA